Molecule: unclassified non-coding RNA, 117 nt
Organism: Macaca mulatta (Rhesus monkey)
Lineage: Eukaryota; Metazoa; Chordata; Mammalia; Primates; Cercopithecidae
Rfam family: Metazoan signal recognition particle RNA
About the family: The signal recognition particle (SRP) is a universally conserved ribonucleoprotein. It is involved in the co-translational targeting of proteins to membranes. The eukaryotic SRP consists of a 300-nucleotide 7S RNA and six proteins: SRPs 72, 68, 54, 19, 14, and 9.
Source: Ensembl
GCCGGGUGUGGUAGCUCACACCUGUAAUCCUAGCAGUUUGGGAGGCUGAGGUGGGCGGAUUGCCUGAGCUCAGGAGUUCUACACCAGCCUGGGCAACACGGCAAAACCCCAUCUCUA